AGAGUGAACGCUGGCGGUAGGCCUAACACAUGCAAGUCGAACGGCAGCACAGUGGUAGCAAUACCAUGGGUGGCGAGUGGCGGACGGGUGAGGAAUACAUCGGAAUCUACCUUUUCGUGGGGGAUAACGUAGGGAAACUUACGCUAAUACCGCAUACGCCCUUUGGGGGAAAGCCGGGGAUCGCAAGACCUGGCGCGGAUAGAUGAGCCGAUGUCGGAUUAGCUAGUUGGUGAGGUAAUGGCUCACCAAGGCGACGAUCCGUAGCUGGUCUGAGAGGAUGAUCAGCCACACUGGAACUGAGACACGGUCCAGACUCCUACGGGAGGCAGCAGUGGGGAAUAUUGGACAAUGGGCGCAAGCCUGAUCCAGCCAUACCGCGUGGGUGAAGAAGGCCUUCGGUUAGUAAAGUCCUUUGUUAGGGAAAGAAAAGCUAAGUUCGGUUAAUACCCGGUGUUCGUGACGGUACCCAAAGAAUAACGCACCGCUAACUUCGAGCCAGCAGCCG
RNAcentral lists this ribosomal RNA (505 nucleotides) under uncultured soil bacterium. RNAcentral's name for it is "bacterial SSU rRNA". It matches the Rfam family "Bacterial small subunit ribosomal RNA", at positions 26 to 517 of the family's 1533-position model. The record is from RNAcentral.